Molecule: ribosomal RNA, 430 nt
Filed under: Pseudomonadota bacterium
Lineage: Bacteria; Pseudomonadati; Pseudomonadota
Description: Proteobacteria bacterium partial 16S ribosomal RNA
Rfam family: Bacterial small subunit ribosomal RNA
Source: RNAcentral
UGGGGAAUAUUGGACAAUGGGGGGAACCCUGAUCCAGCCAUGCCGCGUGUGUGAAGAAGGCCUUAUGGUUGUAAAGCACUUUAAGCGAGGAGGAGGGUACUGGUAUUAAUACUACCAGGUACUGGACGUUACUCGCAGAAUAAGCACCGGCUAACUCUGUGCCAGCAGCCGCGGUAAUACAGAGGGUGCGAGCGUUAAUCGGAUCUACUGGGCGUAAAGCGUGCGUAGGCGGCUAAUUGAGUCGGAUGUGAAAUCCCCGAGCUUAACUUGGGAAUUGCAUUCGAUACUGGUUAGCUAGAGUGUGGGAGAGGAUGGUAGAAUUCCAGGUGUAGCGGUGAAAUGCGUAGAGAUCUGGAGGAAUACCGAUGGCGAAGGCAGCCAUCUGGCCUAACACUGACGCUGAGGUACGAAAGCAUGGGGAGCAAACAGG